This is a long non-coding RNA of Diorhabda carinulata, 320 nucleotides long. RefSeq lists it as uncharacterized. NCBI's taxonomy places the organism in Eukaryota, Metazoa, Arthropoda, Insecta, Coleoptera, Chrysomelidae. The record is from RefSeq and is a predicted model, not a curated record. The transcript has 2 exons.
GAGGAACAUGUGUCCAGUCUUUUACGAACGUCUUCAGAGAAUGUGAUCUAUAUAUAUAAAGAAAGUACUACGACGAAUUCAAGGUCAUCAGGCUUGAAGUAACGUCUAGCUUGCUGCGAUGAAACGUCACAGUUAAAUUUAUUAAAAGAAAAUAUUAACACAUGACAGAGAGUUGAUAGCAGAGGCGUGCUCAUUGGAAUUAUCUUAGGGCGGAACAAGAAUGUCAGAAAUAAACAGAAGUUGUCAUAAUUAUGACAUGGAACACGAAUUUUAUAAUAAAAUAGAAAUUAUUAAUAGAUAAAUAAUUCGAAAAUUUUAAA